GGGAUUGCCUCAGUAACGGCGAGUGAAGCGGCAACAGCUCAAAUUUUAAAGCUGGCGUCUUUGGCGCCCGCAUUGUAAUUUGGAGAGGCAUCUUCGGUUUGGUCGCCAGCCUAUGUUCCUUGGAACAGGACGUCACAGAGGGUGAGAAUCCCGUGCUUGGCUGGCUGUACCUCUCCAUGUGAAGUGCCUUCGACGAGUCGAGUUGUUUGGGAAUGCAGCUCAAAAUGGGUGGUAAAUUUCAUCUAAAGCUAAAUAUUGGCGGGAGACCGAUAGCGCACAAGUAGAGUGAUCGAAAGAUGAAAAGCACUUUGAAAAUAGAGUUAAAAAGUACGUGAAAUUGUUGAAAGGGAAGCGCUUGAGACCAGACUCGGCCGGAGACGAUCAGCGGUCCUUCGGGGCUGUGCACUCGCCUUUGGUCGGGCCAGCAUCGGUUGGGGCGGUGGGAUAAAGGCCCGGGGAAUGUGGCUCCUUUCGGGGAGUGUUAUAGCCCCGGGCGCAAUGCUGCCUGCCCCGACCGAGGACCGCGCUCUUUUGCUAGGAUGCUGGCGUAAUGGUCUUCAGCGACCCGUCUUGAAACACGGACCAAGGAGUCUAACAUCUAUGCGAGUGUUUGGGUGUCAAACCCUUGCGCGUAAUGAAAGUGAACGGAGGUGGGAACCCCUCGUCCAGGGGGGUGCACCAUCGACCGAUCCCGAAGUCUUCUGAAGGAUUUGAGUAGGAGCAUAGCUGUUGGGACCCGAAAGAUGGUGAACUAUGCCUGAAUAGGGUGAAGCCAGAGGAAACUCUGGUGGAGGCUCGCAUCGGUUCUGACGUGCAAAUCGAUCGUCAAAUUUGGGUAUAGGGGCGAAAGACUAAUCGAACCAUCUAGUAGCUGG
This 875-nucleotide ribosomal RNA is filed under the name Gyromitra sp. RNAcentral describes it as "partial large subunit ribosomal RNA". It matches the Rfam family "Eukaryotic large subunit ribosomal RNA", at positions 71 to 954 of the family's 3401-position model. The record is from RNAcentral. Lineage: Eukaryota; Fungi; Ascomycota; Pezizomycetes; Pezizales; Discinaceae.